Molecule: ribosomal RNA, 392 nt
Filed under: uncultured bacterium
Lineage: Bacteria
Description: bacterial SSU rRNA
Rfam family: Bacterial small subunit ribosomal RNA
Source: RNAcentral
AUUGAACGCUGGCGGCAUGCCUUACACAUGCAAGUCGAACGGCAGCAUGGAAGAGCUUGCUCUUCUGAUGGCGAGUGGCGAACGGGUGAGUAAAGCAUCGGAACGUACCGUGUAGUGGGGGAUAACGUAGCGAAAGUUACGCUAAUACCGCAUACGCACUGAGGUGGAAAGCAGGGGAUCGCAAGACCUUGCGCUAUACGAGCGGCCGAUGUCAGAUUAGCUAGUUGGUAGGGUAAAGGCCUACCAAGGCGACGAUCCGUAGCGGGUCUGAGAGGAUGAUCCGCCACACUGGGACUGAGACACGGCCCAGACUCCUACGGGAGGCAGCAGUGGGGAAUUUUGGACAAUGGCGCAAGCCUGAUCCAGCCAUGCCGCGUGAGUGAAGAAGGCCU